RNAcentral lists this ribosomal RNA (305 nucleotides) under uncultured bacterium. Its description in RNAcentral is "partial 16S ribosomal RNA". It matches the Rfam family "Bacterial small subunit ribosomal RNA", at positions 505 to 809 of the family's 1533-position model. The record is from RNAcentral.
ACAUCAGUCGCCACGGUAAUACGGAGGAUCCGAGCGUUAUCCGGAUUUAUUGGGUUUAAAGGGUGCGUAGGCGGCUCAUUAAGUCAGGGGUGAAAGACGGUAGCUUAACUAUCGCAGUGCCUUUGAUACUGAUGAGCUUGAAUACACUUGAGGUAGGCGGAAUGUGACAAGUAGCGGUGAAAUGCAUAGAUAUGUCACAGAACACCAAUUGCGAAGGCAGCUUACUAAAGUGAGAUUGACGCUGAGGCACGAAAGCGUGGGGAUCAAACAGGAUUAGAUACCCCCGUAGUCCCUGUCUCUUAUAA